RNAcentral lists this ribosomal RNA (458 nucleotides) under uncultured bacterium. RNAcentral's name for it is "partial 16S ribosomal RNA". It matches the Rfam family "Bacterial small subunit ribosomal RNA", at positions 338 to 795 of the family's 1533-position model. The record is from RNAcentral.
CCUACGGGAGGCAGCAGUGGGGAAUAUUGCACAAUGGGGGAAACCCUGAUGCAGCGACGCCGCGUGAGUGAAGAAGUAAUUCGUUACGUAAAGCUCUAUCAGCAGGGAAGAAACACUGACCUUACGGUCAGCAGACGGUACCUGAGUAAGAAGCCCCGGCUAACUACGUGCCAGCAGCCGCGGUAAUACGUAGGGGGCAAGCGUUAUCCGGAUUUACUGGGUGGAAAGGGAGCGUAGACGGGGCGCCAAGUCUGGAGUGAAAUGCCGCAGCUUAACUUGGGAACUGCUUUGGAAACUGGCGAACUAGAGUGCGGGAGGGGUAAGCGGAAGUCCUAGUGUAGCGGUGAAAUGCGUAGAUAUUAGGAGGAACACCGGUGGCGAAGGCGGCUUACUGGACCGUAACUGACGUUGAGGCUCGAAAGCGUGGGGAGCAAACAGGAUUAGAUACCCCUGUAGUC